AUUGAACGCUGGCGGCAUGCCUUACACAUGCAAGUCGAACGGUAACAGGUUAAGCUGACGAGUGGCGAACGGGUGAGUAAUACAUCGGAACGUGCCCAGUAAUGGGGGAUAGCCCGGCGAAAGCCGGAUUAAUACCGCAUACGACCUACGGGUGAAAGCAGGGGAUCGCAAGACCUUGCGUUAUUGGAGCGGCCGAUGUCAGAUUAGGUAGUUGGUGGGUAAAAGCCUACCAAGCCGACGAUCUGUAGCUGGUCUGAGAGGACGACCAGCCACACUGGGACUGAGACACGGCCCAGACUCCUACGGGAGGCAGCAGUGGGGAAUUUUGGACAAUGGGCGCAAGCCUGAUCCAGCCAUGCCGCGUGCGGGAAGAAGGCCUUCGGUU
RNAcentral lists this ribosomal RNA (385 nucleotides) under uncultured bacterium. RNAcentral describes it as "bacterial SSU rRNA". It matches the Rfam family "Bacterial small subunit ribosomal RNA", at positions 30 to 423 of the family's 1533-position model. The record is from RNAcentral.